GAUGAACGCUGGCGGCGUGCCUAAUACAUGCAAGUCGAACGAAACUUCUUUAUCACCGAGUGCUUGCACUCACCGAUAAAGAGUUGAGUGGCGAACGGGUGAGUAACACGUGGGCAACCUGCCCAAAAGAGGGGGAUAACACUUGGAAACAGGUGCUAAUACCGCAUAACCAUAGUUACCGCAUGGUAACUAUGUAAAAGGUGGCUAUACUACCGCUUUUGGAUGGGCCCGCGGCGCAUUAGCUAGUUGGUAGGGUAAAGGCCUACCAAGGCAAUGAUGCGUAGCCGAAUUGAGAGGUUGAUCGGCCACAUUGGGACUGAGACACGGCCCAAACUCCUACGGGAGGCAGCAGUAGGGAAUCUUCCACAAUGGGCGAAAGCCUGAUGGAGCAACGCCGCGUGGGUGAAGAAGGUCUUCGGAUCGUAAAACCCUGUUGUUAGAGAAGAAAGUGCGUGAGAGUAACUGUUCACGUUUCGACGGUAUCUAACCAGAAAGCCACGGCUAACUACGUG
Molecule: ribosomal RNA, 512 nt
Filed under: uncultured bacterium
Lineage: Bacteria
Description: partial 16S ribosomal RNA
Rfam family: Bacterial small subunit ribosomal RNA
Source: RNAcentral